UACGGAGGGUGCGAGCGUUGUCCGGAAUCAUUGGGCGUAAAGGGCGCGUAGGUGGCCCGGUCAGUCUUUGGUGAAAGCGCGGGGCUCAACCCUGCGUCGGCCAGGGAUACUGCCGCGGCUGGAGCACUGUAGAGGCAGGCGGAAUUCCGGGUGUAGCGGUGGAAUGCGUAGAGAUCCGGAAGAACACCGGUGGCGAAGGCGGCCUGCUGGGCAGUUUGCUGACACUGAGGCGCGACAGCGUGGGAGCAAACAGG
This 254-nucleotide ribosomal RNA is filed under the name uncultured bacterium. RNAcentral's name for it is "partial 16S ribosomal RNA". It matches the Rfam family "Bacterial small subunit ribosomal RNA", at positions 524 to 776 of the family's 1533-position model. The record is from RNAcentral.